AGAGUUUGAUCCUGGCUCAGGACGAACGCUGGCGGCGUGCCUAAUGCAUGCAAGUCGAGCGGGCUACGAUCUUCGGAUUGUAGCUUAGCGGCGAACGGGUGAGUAACACGUAGGUAAUCUACCCUUCAGAGGAGGACAACCUCCGGGAACUGAGGCUAAACCUUCAUACGUUCACUGGUAGGGAUACUGGUGAAGGAAGAGUUACCCUAGUGGUAGCUGCUGAAGGAUGAGCCUGCGGCCCAUCUGGUAGUUGGUGAGGUAACGGCUCACCAAGCCGAAGACGGGUAACCGGUCUGAGAGGAUGUCCGGUCACACUUGGACUGAAACACGGCCCAGACUCCUACGGGAGGCAGCAGCAGGGAAUCUUGGGCGGUGGGCGAAAGCCUGACCCAGCGACGCCGCGUGGAGGAAGAAGUCCUUCGGGGUUUAAACUCCUGGACUUGGGUACGAGAAGGGACGGUACCCCAGUAGAAAGGGACGGCUAACUACGUGCCAGCAGCCGCGGUUAAACGUAGGUCCCGAGCGUUGUUCGGAUUCACUGGGUGUUAAGGGCGCGUAGGUGGUUGUCUGUGUCGCGUGUGAAAACUCAGGGCUCAACUCUGAGAUGGCGUGGGAAACUAGGCAGCUAGAGGACGGUAGAGGGAAGUGGAAUUCCCGGUGUAGCGGUUAAAUGCGUAGAUAUCUGGAUGAACACCGGUGGCGGAGGCGGCUCUCUGGGCCGAUCUUGACGCUGAGGCGCGAAAGCUAGGGGAGCGAACCGGAUUAGAUACCCGGGUAGUC
Molecule: ribosomal RNA, 780 nt
Filed under: uncultured bacterium
Lineage: Bacteria
Description: bacterial SSU rRNA
Rfam family: Bacterial small subunit ribosomal RNA
Source: RNAcentral